GAUGAACGCUGGCGGCGUGCCUAAUACAUGCAAGUCGAGCGAACAGACGAGGAGCUUGCUCCUCUGACGUUAGCGGCGGACGGGUGAGUAACACGUGGAUAACUUACCUAUAAGACUGGGAUAACUUCGGGAAACCGGAGCUAAUACCGGAUAAUAUAUUGAACCGCAUGGUUCAAUAGUGAAAGACGGUUUUGCUGUCACUUAUAGAUGGAUCCGCGCCGCAUUAGCUAGUUGGUAAGGUAACGGCUUACCAAGGCAACGAUGCGUAGCCGACCUGAGAGGGUGAUCGGCCACACUGGAACUGAGACACGGUCCAGACUCCUACGGGAGGCAGCAGUAGGGAAUCUUCCGCAAUGGGCGAAAGCCUGACGGAGCAACGCCGCGUGAGUGAUGAAGGUCUUCGGAUCGUAAAACUCUGUUAUUAGGGAAGAACAAAUGUGUAAGUAACUAUGCACGUCUUGACGGUGCCUAAUCAGAAAGCCACGGCUAACUACGUG
Molecule: ribosomal RNA, 497 nt
Filed under: uncultured bacterium
Lineage: Bacteria
Description: partial 16S ribosomal RNA
Rfam family: Bacterial small subunit ribosomal RNA
Source: RNAcentral